GUGCUCACUUCCAGCAGAACAUAUACCAAAACUGGAAUGAUACAGAGAAAAUUAGCACGGCCCCUGCACAAGGAUGACACGCAAAUUCGUGAAGCAUUCCACAUUUUU
Molecule: small nuclear RNA, 108 nt
Organism: Choloepus didactylus (southern two-toed sloth)
Lineage: Eukaryota; Metazoa; Chordata; Mammalia; Pilosa; Megalonychidae
Source: RefSeq, a predicted model, not a curated record